GAUGGUGGAAGGUGAGGUUAUCUUAUGCUAGUAGAUUUCUCAUGAAACAGACAGACUGUGGACUUUUAUUACCAUAGCGUAACGUUCUUUAACCGUUUUCCCACAAUGGCGGCCCAAGUACGAAACGAGUGUGGAAGGAAAGUCACACAGAUUGUGCAUCUUGCUGAAGAGGUUGUCCACCUUCUUGAAGAUGGUUUGUUGUCAGAGGUUCAAUACGAACUCGCACUCCCUGGACAAGCGAAUGGAGAGGCCUUGGAAGAAAAAGGUUUAAGUUGGGAGCCCCGUUAGGCGCGCAUGUCUCAGAAGGCUGUCAACCGCUGGUUCCUGGCCGUGACUCUCCAACGCAACCCAUCUCUUGUCAAGUUCCGCCGCAUAUGCCGCCAUUUCACGGCGUCUGUUGUGACUCUUGGAAGCGUCAACUUUAAUUUGACAUUCCAAUGUAAAACUUUGAGACUAACUCAGCAGGAAGAAUACUGUUCGCUCUAUGUGGUUCUCUUUGUCGAACAUCUGCUAUAGUUUGGGAUAAAGAUCACAAAAUGUAGGGGGUUCCCUCUUUAGUUACUACAGUAUGAUACAGUCUGUAUCUGGGCAUUGUUGUUGUUGUUGCUUUUUUUGUUGUUUUUGUUGUUGUUUUUUCAGUUUUUGGGUUUUUUUUAUUCAAAAUGUUACUCCUCUAAUGGAAACUGCUCUAAAUUCUGGGCUAAGCUUUAUUAAACACGUAGAUUGUGGUAGAGGAGUGAGUAAGGAAGCACAUAAAGUACUUAUUGAAAAAACAAAAAAAAUUGUAGAUUUCUAUUGCUGGCUUCGGAAAUGGGAAUUAUGUUAUCUGGAAAGCAUGGAGAGGCAAAUGGUAGCAUUUGCAACCGAAGAUGAUUUUUUUGUAAAUCUAUUUCUCUGUCAAGCGGGCUUGCACGCUCUGAAGCGCUUUCAAGAAAAUAUCGACGGCAUUGUAAUUACUCCUGCAAAGUCUUGUUUGCUGAACUAUCUGCCAUUUUCGAAUCAAUCAAAGAAAACUGAGUGUGUUUCAAUUUUAGUCUCCCUUGUCUGACAGCUUGGUACAGUUAGCGAACUCCAACAUCGUGAAGAUGGACUAUCGAAUCACGACUUCGCCGCUCUCAAGUUAAUCUUUCGUAGUAUGAGAGCAGUUCAAAUCUUGCGCGCGCUACACAAGUCAGACAUAAUUAUUUUUGCGCGUAAUAAGUAAUGGUAAUAGGAUUGAGUAGAGUCCAGUUCGGUCUGUAAUUAUAGGAGUGAUAACAAAAUCGGACGACCGCGCAGCGGAAGUCCGAUUUGUUUAUCACGAGUAUGAUAACAGACUGUCCGAUAAAAGAAUUUGCAAUUUGGCAAAAAUAGUGCGCAGAGAGAGGUUAAAAAUAUAUCAACGACGUUAAAAGUAUGCGAAUU
Non-coding RNA from Pocillopora verrucosa, 1404 nucleotides. The record is from RefSeq and is a predicted model, not a curated record. NCBI's taxonomy places the organism in Eukaryota, Metazoa, Cnidaria, Anthozoa, Scleractinia, Pocilloporidae.